AGACAUGGUGGUGCUCUUGUUCCUCAGCUUUGCUGCCUGCACUGCUCUGCUCUCAGCAGGAGAGAAAGUCAAGCAGACUCCCAGUGACAUGUUGAAGAAGACGGGAGAGACGGCCACCAUCCAAUGUUCUCACAGCAUUGAGGGCUACAACCAGAUGCUCUGGUACAAGAACGUGGAGGUGCAGAUGCAGUUCCUGGGCUACAUGUCUUACAGCAAUGCCCUCCCAGAGAAGGGUGUGGACGUGGAGAUCAAAGGGAGCGCCUCAGUGAAUGAACAGUGCCAACUGAUCAUCCCAAAGCUCAACCUGAACAGCAGUGCUCUUUAUUACUGUGCAGCUAGGACUAGCAAUGCUGAAGCCUACUUUGGCCCGGGAACAAGACUAACAGUUCUAGGUGAGACACCAAAACAAGUCAAUCCACCCAAGGUGACCUUGCUGAAACCUUCGCCACAGGAGUGCAGCCAGCAGAAGAAGAAGAAGAAGAAGACUUUAGUGUGCGUGGCCACGGGCUUCUACCCGGACCACGUCAGCGUGGUGUGGCAGGUCAACCAGGUGGAGGAGCACACAGGUGUGGCCACGGACUCGCGGGCCCUGCGAAGCGGGGACUACUACAGCAUCAGCAGCAGGCUGAGGGUCCCAAGCAGCCAGUGGUUCAACUCCCACACCACCUUCAAGUGCGUGGUCAACUUCUUCAACGGGAAAGAAAGUGUGGCGUAUGAGGCGGAGAUGAAAGGAGAAAAAGGCUGGGACCAGGAAGACGCCAUGACGCGAGACAACUUCCUGAAGAUCUGGCAGAGCGCCAAACUCUCCUACGCCGUCCUCAUCGCCAAGAGCUGCGUCUACGCCGCCUUCCUCUUCUUCCUGCUACGCAACAUUCCCCUUGGUUUCCUCGGGGAAAAGUGACUAACUUUCAUUGUUGUGUUGUUCAUUGUGUCCUUCAUUUCUUGUCCUGCGUCUGCUUUUCACAAUAAAAGUCUCAUCAAAAUAA
Molecule: non-coding RNA, 986 nt
Organism: Nerophis lumbriciformis (worm pipefish)
Lineage: Eukaryota; Metazoa; Chordata; Actinopteri; Syngnathiformes; Syngnathidae
Source: the annotation of a RefSeq genome assembly